Peromyscus leucopus (white-footed mouse) is the source of this 775-nucleotide long non-coding RNA. RefSeq lists it as uncharacterized. The transcript is spliced from 3 exons. The record is from RefSeq and is a predicted model, not a curated record. NCBI's taxonomy places the organism in Eukaryota, Metazoa, Chordata, Mammalia, Rodentia, Cricetidae.
UGUCAGAUAAGUAGAAGCAAGAAUGAACAAAAAUUCUAACAUUCUUAUGGGGCAGAGGAUAGGACAAAUUUUACAAGUGAGGCAAAUGAAGUAGCCAACCAUUAUCGUUAGAGAAGCUGAAGACUCCUUGAGGGCAGAUACUAGAGGCACAACAUCCAGAUGUGGGCUCCUGGAAACAAUUUGGGAGGAAGUGAACAUCUGAAAUUAAGCUGCCUGGAUACCUGAGGUCCCUGUGCAGGCUGUAGGAAUGAAUGUCAAUACUCAGAAGAUGCUGACAAAAAAGCCAAAAACCCAAGACAAGGGCACAAGGAACACUUGUCUAAGUGACCGGCCGAGGCAGUCAAAUAGAGCACAAGUCAAGACGGAGGAAUCUCAGGAGGAACUGCAAAAUGAACCUUACAUUCUACCAGAUAAACAGGAUGCUGUUAAAGAACACUACUAAAGGGUACAGCAAAAGGAUGUGGCUAAGGAUGCUUCUAAAGGAUGCUGCUAAAGGAUGAUGCUAAAGGGUGCUUCUAAAGUAUGCUGCUAGAGGAUGAUGCUAGAGGGUGCUUCUAAAGGAUGCUGCUAGAGGAUGAUGCUAGAGGGUGCUUCUAAGGUUACUAGAAUUAUGCCAAUAUGAUUGCACUGACAGCUUGGGAGGUUUACAUCAAGCAAAGACAAGACACUGAAAACAUAACCAAGAGAAAAAAAUGCAAUGCAUUUAGAUGCGUUCAGUAUGUUUAAAUUCAUGAAGUCCUGAUAUACUAUUAAAGACUCUACCUUGGCCACUUCA